This 320-nucleotide ribosomal RNA is filed under the name uncultured eukaryote. RNAcentral's name for it is "partial 18S ribosomal RNA". It matches the Rfam family "Eukaryotic small subunit ribosomal RNA", at positions 1470 to 1796 of the family's 1831-position model. The record is from RNAcentral.
CCCCUAGAUGUUCUGGGCCGCACGCGCGCUACACUGAACAGUUCAACAAGUCUUAACCUUGGCCGAUAGGUCUGGGUAAUCUUUGAACGCUGUUCGUGAUUGGGAUAGACCUUUGCAAUUAUGGGUCUUCAACGAGGAAUUCCUAGUAAACGCAAGUCAUCAGCUUGCAUUGAUUACGUCCCUGCCCUUUAUACACACCGCCCGUCGCACCUACCGAUUGAAUGGUCCGGUGAAAUCUCGGGACGGCGGCUUGGUCGCUUGCGUCCGACUGCUGAAACUUGAUUAAACCAUAUCAUUUAGAGGAAGGUGAAGUCGUANCA